CCUACGGGAGGCAGCAGUGAGGAAUAUUGGUCAAUGGUCGGGAGACUGAACCAGCCAAGCCGCGUGAGGGAUGAAGGUACUGGGUAUCGUAAGCCUCUUUUGUAAAGGAGCAAAGGCGGGGACGUGUCCCCGGAUGAGUGUACCUGAAGAAAAAGCAUCGGCUAACUCCGUGCCAGCAGCCGCGGUAAUACGGAGGAUGCGAGCGUUAUCCGGAUUUAUUGGGUUUAAAGGGUGCGCAGGCGGUUUGUUAAGUUAGGGGUCAAAUGUCCGGGGUCAACCCCGGCCCCGCCUUUGAGACUGGCAGUCUCGAGUUGGAGAGAAGUAGGCGGAAUGCGUGGUGUAGCGGUGAAAUGCAUAGAUAUCGCGCAGAACACCGAUUGCGAAGGCAGCAUGCCGG
This 397-nucleotide ribosomal RNA is filed under the name uncultured bacterium. Its description in RNAcentral is "partial 16S ribosomal RNA". It matches the Rfam family "Bacterial small subunit ribosomal RNA", at positions 338 to 732 of the family's 1533-position model. The record is from RNAcentral.